Molecule: ribosomal RNA, 253 nt
Filed under: uncultured bacterium
Lineage: Bacteria
Description: partial 16S ribosomal RNA
Rfam family: Bacterial small subunit ribosomal RNA
Source: RNAcentral
UACGGGGGGGGCAAGCGUUGUUCGGAAUUACUGGGCGUAAAGGGCUCGUAGGUGGCCAACUAAGUCAGACGUGAAAUCCCUCAGCUUAACUGGGGAACUGCGUCUGAUACUGGAUGGCUUGAGUUUGGGAGAGGGAUGCGGAAUUCCAGGUGUAGCGGUGAAAUGCGUAGAUAUCAGGAGGAACACCGGUGGCGAAGGCGGGUCUCUGGGCAAUAACUGACGCUGAGGAGCGAAAGCGUGGGGAGCGAACAGG